CGAACGAGAACGGCUCUUAGCUUGCUAAGAGUGUCAGCUAAGUGGCGCACGGGUGAGUAAUGUAUAGCUAACGUGCCCCUUGGAGGGGGAUAACGGCUGGAAACGGCCGCUAAUACCCCAUACUCCUUCACGAGUAAUGUCGUGUCGGGAAAUGGAUUACCGCCAAGGGAUCGGGCUAUAUCGUAUCAGCUGGUUGGUGAGGUAAAGGCUCACCAAGGCGAUGACGCGUAGCGGGUCUGAGAGGAUGAUCCGCCACACUGGAACUGAGACACGGUCCAGACUCCUACGGGAGGCAGCAGUGGGGAAUAUUGGGCAAUGGGCGCAAGCCUGACCCAGCAACGCCGCGUGGAGGAUGACGCCCUUCGGGGUGUAAACUCCUUUUAUCAGGGAAGAUGAUGACGGUACCUGAUGAAUAAGCACCGGCUAACUCCGUGCCAGCAGCCGCGGUAAUACGGAGGGUGCAAGCGUUCUCGGAAUCACUGGGCGUAAAGC
Molecule: ribosomal RNA, 492 nt
Filed under: uncultured prokaryote
Description: bacterial SSU rRNA
Rfam family: Bacterial small subunit ribosomal RNA
Source: RNAcentral